Molecule: ribosomal RNA, 919 nt
Filed under: uncultured archaeon
Lineage: Archaea
Description: bacterial SSU rRNA
Rfam family: Archaeal small subunit ribosomal RNA
Source: RNAcentral
UUCCGGUUGAUCCUGCCGGAGGCCAUUGCUAUCGGAGUCCGAUUUAGCCAUGCUAGUCGCACGGGUUUAGACCCGUGGCAGAUAGCUCAGUAACACGUGGCCAAACUGCCCUAUGGAUGGAGACAACCUCGGGAAACUGAGGCUAAUCUCCAAUACGGCUCUCAUGCUGGAGUGCAGAGAGCUGGAAACGCUCCGGCGCCAUAGGAUGUGGCUGCGGCCGAUUAGGUAGACGGUGGGGUAACGGCCCACCGUGCCGAUAAUCGGUACGGGUUGUGAGAGCAAGAGCCCGGAGACGGAAUCUGAGACAAGAUUCCGGGCCCUACGGGGCGCAGCAGGCGCGAAACCUUUACACUGCACGACAGUGCGAUAGGGGGACUCCGAGUGCGAGGGCAUACAGUCCUCGCUUUUCUGUACCGUAAGGUGGUACAGGAACAAGUGCUGGGCAAGACCGGUGCCAGCCGCCGCGGUAAUACCGGCAGCACGAGUGAUGGCCGCUAUUAUUGGGCCUAAAGCGUCCGUAGCCGGCCGAGCAAGUUCGUCGGGAAAUCUGCCCGCUUAACGGGCAGGCGUCCGGCGAAAACUGUUCGGCUUGGGGCCGGGAGAUCCAAGGGGUACGUCCGGGGUAGGAGUGAAAUCCCGUAAUCCUGGACGGACCACCGAUGGCGAAAGCACCUUGGAAAAACGGACCCGACGGUGAGGGACGAAAGCUAGGGUCUCGAACCGGAUUAGAUACCCGGGUAGUCCUAGCUGUAAACGAUGCUCGCUAGGUGUGGCGCAGGCUACGAGCCUGCGCUGUGCCGUAGGGAAGCCGAGAAGCGAGCCGCCUGGGAAGUACGUCUGCAAGGAUGAAACUUAAAGGAAUUGGCGGGGGAGCACUACAACCGGAGGAGCCUGCGGUUUAAUUGGAUUCAACGCCGGA